UAAGUCGUACUUUUAAGGUUAUAUUUGAGGCUUGAAUAAAUACUCAAAAGCUAUGUACAUUGCUGUCUGUGUGUACGUAAAUUAACGAGCCAAUCAUAACUCGAUAAGUAAAUAUUGCAUUUCUAAUUUUAUUGCGUAAUAUCAAUAACAUGGGUUUUUUUUAUUAUUUCGUGGAAAAUUUUUCUACAUAUAAGUUUGAAGAUUAGAAAUGGCUUACUGUAUUUUUGUUUUACUUGCAAAAGCACAUUGAGUUGGUUGAACAUCAAAAGAGUGAGGACCAUGAAGCUUUUCUGCGUUCUUGUUGUUUUCAGCGUGAUUGCUGCCUCUUUGGCUAGUUUCCCUCCGUCAGCCUGUAGACUUCAACGCAAGAUGGUAACAGACGCAGGU
Parasteatoda tepidariorum (common house spider) is the source of this 387-nucleotide unclassified non-coding RNA. The record is from RefSeq and is a predicted model, not a curated record. Lineage: Eukaryota; Metazoa; Arthropoda; Arachnida; Araneae; Theridiidae.